GAAAAUCACCCUGUGGCAGUCAAGUAUGAGCAAAAUUACUUCAACCUUUUGAUGUCGGCUUUUCCUGUCAUCACAAAAGAAAAUGCGCCAAGCAUUGGUCAGUUUACCCAUUAACAAUGAACACGAGCUGUGUGGGGACUGUCAUGAGACAAGUU
This 155-nucleotide non-coding RNA is filed under the name Buceros rhinoceros silvestris. The record is from Rfam by way of RNAcentral. Lineage: Eukaryota; Metazoa; Chordata; Aves; Bucerotiformes; Bucerotidae.